This 326-nucleotide unclassified non-coding RNA is filed under the name soil metagenome. Its description in RNAcentral is "partial contains 5.8S ribosomal RNA, internal transcribed spacer 2, and large subunit ribosomal RNA". The stretch from base 1 to 120 matches the Rfam family "5.8S ribosomal RNA", at positions 35 to 154 of the family's 154-position model. The record is from RNAcentral.
GAUGAAGAACGUAGCGAAAUGCGAUAAGUAAUGUGAAUUGCAGAAUUCAGUGAAUCAUCGAAUAUUUGAACGCACAUUGCGCCCCUUGGUAUUCCGAGGGGCAUGCCUGUUCGAGCGUCAUAUUAACCACUCCCGCUUGCGGGGUCUUGGGCUUCGCCUCCGGGCGGGCCUUAAAAUCAGUGGCGGUGCCGUCGGGCUCUACGCGUAGUAAAUUUUCUCGCGAUAGGGUCCCGGUGGAUGCUUGCCAACAACCCCCAACUUCUUAAGGUUGACCUCGGAUCAGGUAGGGAUACCCGCUGAACUUAAGCAUAUCAAUAAGCGGAGGA